Pogonomyrmex barbatus (red harvester ant) is the source of this 733-nucleotide long non-coding RNA. Lineage: Eukaryota; Metazoa; Arthropoda; Insecta; Hymenoptera; Formicidae. The record is from RefSeq and is a predicted model, not a curated record.
CUAGUUGUCUUCUACCGUUUUGGACGGAAUUAAUAUAUCAUCGAUAUAGACAAUUACCUUGUCUUGGCGGAUAAGCGGUUGCAAGAUUUGAACAAUUCUACGUUGGAAUUCAGCCGGUGAUUCCGAGAAAUUGAACGGUACUAUUCUCGCGCAAUAUGAUGAGCGACUCGGCUGAAUAAUUCCUCGCGUGAGCAGAUCAUCCGUGAUCUCGCGAAUUUGCUUGCGUUCAUGCAACGCAAGUUUGCGAAGAGCAUAAGCGUAUGUGGAAUCAUCCCUUAGAGCAACUUUGACGCAAUGAUCGUCCUCAACUAUAGGAAAUCGCCCCCAAUAAUAAGAUCUAUUCCUGGUAGUUCGGAAGCGGAUACAUAAAAAUCAUUGCCGCCACGAUGGACCCAUGGUUGACUCCUCGUUGGUCGUUUCCACCAUCGCUGCUACUAUGGGUUGCCAGGCUGAAUGCUGCGACGGGAUGCCGGUACGUUCCCUCUUCACUUCGGACAAACUGCAAUUCUGUGCCCUGACUCCUUGCAAUGGUAACACACUUCUACUCGUAUUAAUUUUCGUUCGUCCUUCGGUUGAGCGCCUCUACUUUGUCCUCCGCUGGUUCUGUGCUACACGUGUCUUGUUCCGCGGGAAUGCGGUUCAUUCCUAUUUUGCAGGUCUUUGAUUCCUUCGGUUAUGUGCUUCAUUUCGCUCAGAAAUUGAUCUACUGUCAAUGAUUUGAGUGCUAGAGCCG